This is a non-coding RNA of Chiloscyllium plagiosum (whitespotted bambooshark), 487 nucleotides long. The record is from RefSeq and is a predicted model, not a curated record. Lineage: Eukaryota; Metazoa; Chordata; Chondrichthyes; Orectolobiformes; Hemiscylliidae.
UUGAAAAUCUUGAGAUCAUCAAAAGCUGUAUAGAAAUGCAAACUUUUUUUACUUUGUUUAAACCUGUGCUUUGAAUGCUGUGAAGAGGGGCAUCCCUGAUGAAGGGCUUAUGCCUGAAAUGUCGAUUCUCCUGCUCCUCGGAUGCUGCCCGACCUGCUGUGCUUUUCCAGCACCACACUCUCAACUCUAAUUUGUGCAACCUCAUCCUGCUUCAACCUGUCCUGAGAGUACCAGGUGGGACAGUUGUAUUCUGUGGCAGAGGCAAGUAAGAAUGAGACUGGUGGCGGUGAAGGUGUUGAAGUGUUACAGAAUGAGCCAUAUGAGAAAGAUGGUGAGAAAGGACAGUACACGCACAAGAUCUACCACCUUCAACGCAAGGUGCCCAAGUUUGUGCAGAUGCUGGCUCCUGAGGGAGCUCUGAACGUGCAUGAGAAGGCUUGGAACGCGUACCCAUACUGCAGAACUGGUGAGUAGAUGCUGUGCAUGG